This 494-nucleotide ribosomal RNA is filed under the name uncultured bacterium. RNAcentral's name for it is "partial 16S ribosomal RNA". It matches the Rfam family "Bacterial small subunit ribosomal RNA", at positions 28 to 507 of the family's 1533-position model. The record is from RNAcentral.
GACGAACGCUGGCGGCGUGCUUAACACAUGCAAGUCGAACGGUGAAGCGCCUUCCUUUUUGGUGGGUGUGGAUGAGUGGCUAACGGGUGAUUAACACGUGAGUAACCUGCCCCCUUCUUCUGGAUAACCGCAUGAAAGUGUGGCUAAUACGGGAUAUUCUGGGUCUGUCGCAUGAUGGGUCUGGGAAAGAUAUUGUUUCGGUUGGGGAUGGGCUCGCGGCCUAUCAGCUUGUUGGUGGGGUGGUGGCCUACCAAGGCGGUGACGGGUAGCCGGCCUGAGAGGGUGGACGGUCACACUGGGACUGAGACACGGCCCAGACUCCUACGGGAGGCAGCAGUGGGGAAUAUUGCACAAUGGGCGCAAGCCUGAUGCAGCGACGCCGCGUGAGGGAUGGAGGCCUUCGGGUUGUGAACCUCUUUCGCCAGUGAAGCAGGCCUGCCUCGUUUGUGGGUGGGUUGACGGUAGCUGGAUAAGAAGCGCCGGCUAACUACGUG